RNAcentral lists this non-coding RNA (30 nucleotides) under Mus musculus (house mouse). Lineage: Eukaryota; Metazoa; Chordata; Mammalia; Rodentia; Muridae. The record is from RNAcentral.
UGGAUUUCUCUUUCUUGCCACCAUCUCUUU